AUAUUUGCAACAAUAUGUUGCAGACAUCUGUAGAGGCCAAGGCAGCUACUGUCUGAAAGGGAAAAAAAAAACAGGAUGUCAGUACUAUGGAAAAUUGGACAAGCGUCGCCGGUUUACGAGUCAAUGACGACUACCAUUUUACGGAAGAGUGUGUUUUCGUAAGUUCGCAACCAUGCUGGCAGCUACUGAAGCUAUAUAUUACAAAUAUGUUUCUUUUUAGCGGAAGUAGAAGUAAAGAGGAAAGAGCUGUUAUCAUUUCAUGAAAUUCUGAGCAAAUUAUGUAUUUUUUAAAAUUGAUGAAAAACGUUGCGUUUUUGAAAAUCAGUCAAGUUUGGGACGCUAUGGCUACUUCUGUGAACAUCUUAGCUUGUUCAUAUUUGCAGUAUGAAUAGGCCUUUAUGUAAAUAAUGAACCUGUGCAUUUGUAUUUCUCUAAUAAUUUUCAAAGUAAUAAUUUUUCAUGCUCGAAACACCAAGGCAAAAGUGCUCCUCGAUUCAAAAAUCUAUAAUAAAAAAAAAACACAAUCUCAAAUUUGUUCAAAGUCCCCCAAAAUUUUCUCAAAGGACUGCAGAAUGAUAUGAAAAAACAUGUUGCAUCAUUUUUAUUGGAACAAAAGCAGAAAAUGCCAAACAUUGCGUUUUCAGAGCGUGAUGGCUACUGCGUAAAGGGCAUCUCUAGUAACAAGAAAAUACAAUAACACGUCUUUUUUUCUUCUCUGAGCUUCGCUAAACAACAGUAAUGAUCUAUUGUCGGAAAGUGGGAACUGUUUUGUAAAGAAAAACAUCGUUCCAAUUAAAUGCAUUUGCGUGGUUUGCGACUUCACGCAGAGACAUCCCUCAGUCCACAGUAGGCACUUUCAGUUGUAGCCUCCUUUUCUUUCAUCUAUUUCAGUUGAGUAUAAUUCAUAUCUUGCAUGCUAAAGAACGCAUUCCCUCUAUACGUCUCUUAUGAUGUUGUGCUGUGCCAGAAUUGAGAGAUUGGUAUGAAAGGCAACGUCUCUUCAGGAAUGGAAAUGAAUUUCUGGAGGGCGGUCGCCAAGAGCUGUGGUUAUUGUUGGCCAAAACGUGUACAUUGUCAAACUUUAUGUCAUCAAUGCAGAGUUUAAAGAGAAUGGAUUACGUGAAGAUUGGUGGCAGAAGUUCUGACCACGGACAAAACACGUUUUGUUUGCAUUGCAUCUACUUUUCUUUGCAUGUCCUUGUAUCUCUUGAAGCAGUGCUGGCAGAUCUGGUCUCCCCCUUGAAUUGAGCGCGCAUCCUGCUUCAUGACCCUCCGCAAAAGAGAGACUCGAUCCGAUAUCUUCUACAGAACGAAAAUUCCGCUGCAGCAGAAUAUUUUUUUUUUUUUUUUU
Long non-coding RNA from Rhipicephalus sanguineus (brown dog tick), 1351 nucleotides. RefSeq lists it as uncharacterized. The record is from RefSeq and is a predicted model, not a curated record. Lineage: Eukaryota; Metazoa; Arthropoda; Arachnida; Ixodida; Ixodidae. The transcript is spliced from 2 exons.